UGUCUUGGGCUGCACACGUGCUACAAUGGCCGGUACAAUGAGCUGCGAUACCGCGAGGUGGAGCGAAUCUCAAAAAGCCGGUCUCAGUUCGGAUUGGGGUCUGCAACUCGACCCUAUGAAGUCGGAGUCGCUAGUAAUCGCAGAUCAGCAUUGCUGCGGUGAAUACGUUCCCGGGCCUUGUACACACCGCCCGUCACGUCACGAAAGUCGGUAACACCCGAAGCCGGUGGCCCAACCCCUUGUGGGAGGGAGCUGUCGAAGGUGGGACUGGCGAUUGGGACGAAGUCGUAACAAGGUAGCCGUACCGGAAGGUGCGGCUGGAUCACCUCCUUUCUAAGGAGCACUUCUUACCGAGUCCUUCGGGACGAGGUCAGAGGCCAGUACAUCAGCGAACGUCUGAUGCUGGUUGCUCAUGGGUGGAACGUUGACUACUCGGCACACUUGAUCGUCUUCUCCUUCUAGUACUGCUCUUCGGAGCGUGGAACGUCGAGGGAAGCGGGGAGUGUGUCGGGCACGCUGUUGGGUGUCUGAAGGUACGGCCGCGAGGUCGCCUUCAGUGCCGGCCCCAGUGCACUCGAGCCGCUGGUUCGGGGUGAUGGGUGGUUGGUCGUUGUUUGAGAACUGCACAGUGGACGCGAGCAUCUGUGGCCAAGUUUUUAAGGGCGC
Molecule: small RNA, 666 nt
Filed under: Streptomyces rochei
Lineage: Bacteria; Bacillati; Actinomycetota; Actinomycetes; Kitasatosporales; Streptomycetaceae
Description: bacterial SSU rRNA
Rfam family: Bacterial small subunit ribosomal RNA (bases 1-333)
Source: RNAcentral